AGCGAACGCUGGCGGCAGGCCUAACACAUGCAAGUCGAACGGAACCUUCGGGUUCAGUGGCGGACGGGUGAGUAACACGUGGGAACGUGCCCUAUGGUUCGGAAUAACUCAGGGAAACUUGAGCUAAUACCGGAUAAGCCCUACGGGGGAAGAUUAUCGCCAUUGGAGCGGCCCGCGUCUGAUUAGCUAGUUGGUGAGGUAAAGGCUCACCAAGGCUACGACCAGUAGCUGGUCUGAGAGGAUGAUCAGCCACAUUGGGACUGAGACACGGCCCAAACUCCUACGGGAGGCAGCAGUGGGGGAAUCUUGCGCAAUGGGCGAAAGCCUGACGCAGCCAUGCCGCGUGAAUGAU
RNAcentral lists this ribosomal RNA (352 nucleotides) under uncultured bacterium. RNAcentral describes it as "bacterial SSU rRNA". It matches the Rfam family "Bacterial small subunit ribosomal RNA", at positions 29 to 409 of the family's 1533-position model. The record is from RNAcentral.